RNAcentral lists this ribosomal RNA (481 nucleotides) under uncultured bacterium. Its description in RNAcentral is "bacterial SSU rRNA". It matches the Rfam family "Bacterial small subunit ribosomal RNA", at positions 501 to 985 of the family's 1533-position model. The record is from RNAcentral.
CUACGUGCCAGCAGCCGCGGUAAUACGGAAGGUCCAGGCGUUAUCCGGAUUUAUUGGGUUUAAAGGGAGCGUAGGCUGGAGAUUAAGUGUGUUGUGAAAUGUAGACGCUCAACGUCUGACCUGCAGCGCAUACUGGUUUCCUUGAGUACGCACAACGUUGGCGGAAUUCGUCGUGUAGCGGUGAAAUGCUUAGAUAUGACGAAGAACUCCGAUUGCGAAGGCAGCUGACGGGAGCGCAACUGACGCUUAAGCUCGAAGGUGCGGGUAUCAAACAGGAUUAGAUACCCUGGUAGUCCGCACAGUAAACGAUGGAUGCCCGCUGUUGGUACCUGGUAUCAGCGGCUAAGCGAAAGCAUUAAGCAUCCCGCCUGGGGAGUACGCCGGCAACGGUGAAACUCAAAGGAAUUGACGGGGGCCCGCACAAGCGGAGGAACAUGUGGUUUAAUUCGAUGAUACGCGAGGAACCUUACCCGGGCUUGAA